This 351-nucleotide unclassified non-coding RNA is filed under the name fungal sp. RNAcentral describes it as "partial internal transcribed spacer region". The stretch from base 1 to 46 matches the Rfam family "Eukaryotic small subunit ribosomal RNA", at positions 1786 to 1831 of the family's 1831-position model. Lineage: Eukaryota; Fungi. The record is from RNAcentral.
AAGUCGUAACAAGGUUUCCGUAGGUGAACCUGCGGAAGGAUCAUUAAAGAUUUCAUAAGCACAUUUGCUUUCACGCCGCCUGCGGCGAGCCUUUUUUGAAUGGCACGUCGCAAGCGACGUGAUAGCAAAUUGGGGAGGCUGGCGAGGGAUGCCGCCUGCGGCGUGCUUUUUUUUGAAUGGCACGUCGCAAGCGACGUGAUAGCGCAAAUUGGCGAGGGAUAUUUACAUGCUCGUCGCAAGCGAUGUGCUUUUAGAAACACGUCGCUUGCGACGUGCGAGUAAACAUAAUGACACUAAUUCAAUACAUUAACAUUAUUUGUACCACUUUUGACAAUGGAUCUCUAGGCUCUU